RNAcentral lists this ribosomal RNA (386 nucleotides) under uncultured bacterium. RNAcentral's name for it is "bacterial SSU rRNA". It matches the Rfam family "Bacterial small subunit ribosomal RNA", at positions 28 to 414 of the family's 1533-position model. The record is from RNAcentral.
GACGAACGCUGGCGGCGUGCUUAACACAUGCAAGUCGAGCGGUAAGGCCCUUUCGGGGUACGACGAGCGGCGAACGGGUGAGUAACACGUGGGUGACCUGCCCUCAGCUCUGGGAGUAAGCCUCGGGAAACCGGGUCUAAUACUGGAUAUGACUCCAUGACGCAUGUUGUGGGGUGGAAAGCCUUGUGCGGCUGAGGAUGGGCCCGCGGCCUAUCAGCUUGUUGGUGGGGUGAGGCCUACCAAGGCGACGACGGUAGCCGGCCUGAGAGGGCGACCGGCCACACUGGGACUGAGACACGGCCCAGACUCCUACGGGAGGGCAGCAGUGGGGAAUCUUGCGCAAUGGGCGAAAGCCUGACGCAGCGACGCCGCGUGAGGGAUGACGG